RNAcentral lists this long non-coding RNA (2612 nucleotides) under Homo sapiens (human). Its description in RNAcentral is "HSALNT0055137". Lineage: Eukaryota; Metazoa; Chordata; Mammalia; Primates; Hominidae. The record is from RNAcentral.
UUUUUAUUUAUUUAUUUGUUUGUUUGUUUGUUGAGACAGGGUUUUGCUCUGUUGCCCAGGCUGGAAUGCGGUGAUGCAAUCUUGGCUCACUGCAGCCUCCACCUUCCGGGUUCAAGUGAUCCUCCCACCUCAGCCUCCUGAGUGCCUGGGACUAUAGGCAUGCACCACUUACCCUGGCCUGAUUUUUAACAUUGCAAAAAAUUCAUGAUUGUACCAAGAUUUGUCCAAAACCCAACUGUUAGUCAUUUAUCCUUGCAUGCUAUUUUUUUUUUUUUACUGAUCUCUGAUUAUUUUCUUAGGAUACCCUCCUAGACGCAGAAUUACUUGGUCAUAGGAUAAGAACAUUUUCAAAGCCCUUAAUACAUAUUUGUUUUAGCUCCUAGUACUAGGUCUAUUACAUAGUAGGUACUUAGCAAAUAAUUGUUGAAUGAAUGUACGAAUGCCCUCCAGAAAGGUGGCGCCAAUUUAUACUCCCACCUGCAGUAAGAGAAAAGAGCCUUGUCUUGGUCAGUCCACAUCACAAUAGGAGUAAUGAUUAUAGCUGGAUUUUGGUUUCUGUGACUCUGGCAGAGAAAUAAUCUAUUUGCCUUAAAACAAAGAAAUGAAAGUAAAAAGUUGAAUCCUCCCUAAAUGACAUAUGGUUUUGCUUUAAUAGACUGCUGCUUUUAAACACACUGGCACAAAAGUGGAAUGGAGGGAGAGUUCUGAUUAUUUUAGGGCUGAAUCAUGAAGGUCCAGGAUUCCUUCUUCACAUCUCGCUCUAUUAGAUCUUGGCCCCUGGGACCAAUCUCAUGGCUACUUGACUCAACGGGGCUGCCCACCAAUCCCAAUAAGCUUGAGAUCUGGAGAAGGGACCCUUUAUGUAUGAUGUGGGCCUUUCCUGUGAUGUCAAAUUUUGGUGGUGGUGGUGGGAUUACCAAGGAACUUUGUUCCCUUAUCUGAAGUGUAGAAAUUUAGUGGAGGCAAAUUUAAGAGUUAGGAACCUUCCAUUCUGUCAACUGUAGGGGAAGGAGGAAACUAAUAUUGACUUUGUUUUGUUUUUUUUUUGUUUUUCCGGAGACGGUCUUGCUCUGUUACCCAGGCUGGAGUGAAGUGGCAUGAUCAUGGCUCACUGCGGCUUCAACCUCCUGUGCUCAAAAAACUCUCCCACCUCAGCCUCCUGAGUAGUUGGGACCACAGGUGUGAGCCAUCAUGCCCAGGUAUUUUUAAAAUUUUUUUGUAGAGACGGGGUCUCACCAUAUUGCCCAGGCUAAACUCCUGGACUCAAGCCAUCCACUCUCCUCAGCCUCCCAAAGUGCUGGAAUUACAAAGGUGAGCCAUCAUGCCUGACCACGGUUUGAGGUGUUUUUGUUUGUCUGUUUUUUUGUUUGUUUUUUGAGACAGAGUCUCACUCUGUCACCCAGGCUGGAGUGUAGUGGUAUGAUCUUGGCUCACUGCAACCUCCCCCUCCCGGGUUCAAGCAAUUCUCCUGCCUCAGCCUCCAGAGUAGCUGGGUCUACAGGCACGUGCCACCAUGCCCAGCUAAUUUUUAUAUUUUUAGUAGAGGGGGUUUUGCCAUGUUGGCCAGGCUGGUCUCAAAUUCCUGACCUCAGGUGAUCCACCCACCUUGGCUUCCCAAAGUGCUGGGAUUACAAGCGUGAGCGAUCAUGCCUGACCACCGUUUGAGUUUUUACUAUGUGCCAAGCCCCUUCCCAGUCUACUGCAUUCCUUGUAUUAACCUUUUCAUACAAAUAAUAUUAUCUCCACUUUGCAAAUUGGGGAGUUGGGACUCAGAGAGGUUGGGUAACUUAUUGAAGAUCACACAGCUGGUAAAUGCCAGAGCCAUGGAGAUGAUGGUCCUCCAAUUCUAAAUUUAACUCUUCACUAUCCUGGAAUGCUGCCCUAGGAGAGGGCAGUGUGGGUGAAAUUUCUAGGUGUAUAUGGAGAUGGGGGGGAUGAGGUGGUGCCAGGAUUAUGGCUUUGGGUUCAGGCAGACUGUGGGCAGAUUUAGGGCUGAGAAGUUGAUCCCAAGGUUCUCUGGCUUGGCUCUUGGUUUGAAGUUCUUCUAGUCCAUAUGGUGGGAUCAAAAACUCCCAAGUCUAAGGGAUGUGGUUGAGCCCGCAGUGGGGGCCAAGAGUAGAGGCUAGGGGUCUCUGGACCAUUUUAUAGGGUCUCCAGUUCUUAGAGCUUGGGUCUGAGGGUUCUGGGGCCCAAGACCUCCAAUUAUGGGGUCCAGCUCUUAGGUGUUCAGGCCUGAGGAGCCACGUUCAAGAGUCCCUGUGAAGUUUCAAUAGGAAGGGCUUGUUUCAGAAAGUCUCUGGGUUUGCAGGGCUCAGACUGGGGGUCCCAUCCUAAAGGCCCUUUUUCUGAGUUUUAGGGUCCUUGGGCCUGGGGGAUGAGAGAGAUCCAGUUCUGAGGGUUUCAAGAGGUACGGUCCCCGAAAAGCCCAGUUCUGAGAGGCCUGGUUUGGAAAUCUCGCCCUGAAGAUUCCUGGAUCCCAGGGCUCAGGACCAGGCGUCUCUGGAUCUGAGGAUCCUGGUAGUGAUGGCUUAGGGUGGUGUUCCCUGGUCCGAAGCCCGGAGCUAAGGGCACCGGGUCUGCGGUGCGGCUGCGAGGAGCAGGGAAGCGCAGGC